UAGUAGCUCAGUCGGAUAGAGCAGCUGCCUUCUAAGCAGCCGGCCGGGGGUUCGAAUCCCUCCUGGC
Molecule: transfer RNA, 67 nt
Filed under: uncultured Mailhella sp.
Lineage: Bacteria; Pseudomonadati; Thermodesulfobacteriota; Desulfovibrionia; Desulfovibrionales; Desulfovibrionaceae
Rfam family: tRNA
About the family: Transfer RNA (tRNA) molecules are approximately 80 nucleotides in length. Their secondary structure includes four short double-helical elements and three loops (D, anti-codon, and T loops).
Source: RNAcentral